RNAcentral lists this ribosomal RNA (253 nucleotides) under uncultured bacterium. RNAcentral's name for it is "partial 16S ribosomal RNA". It matches the Rfam family "Bacterial small subunit ribosomal RNA", at positions 524 to 776 of the family's 1533-position model. The record is from RNAcentral.
CACGUAGGGGACGAGCGUUGUCCGGAAUCAUUGGGCGUAAAGAGCGUGUAGGCGGCCAGGUAGGUCAGCUGUGAAAACUCGAGGCUCAACCUCGAGACGUCGGUUGAAACCACCUGGCUAGAGUCCGGAAGAGGAGAGUGGAAUUCCUGGUGUAGCGGUGAAAUGCGCAGAUAUCAGGAAGAACACCCGUGGCGAAGGCGGCUCUCUGGCCCGAUACUAACGCUGAGGCACGAAAGCGUGGGGAGCAAACAGG